UGGGCCGCACCGCCCCGGAAAUCCCGGGAGCGCUUUCCACACCUCCAGACGUCGGGAACGAUUUCCUCGGCUCGCUCUCGCGACGGUGCGAUGCCCCUCUCUGACCCCCUCCUCCUAGCGGCCACGAGCAACGCCCCCGCCGAAAUCCUCCUCACUCCGCAGACCGCGAGCGACGCAUCCACCGAGAUCGUCCUCCUUGCACUACUCCACGCGGAUGGUCCUCACCGCCGACCAGAUCCGUCGCCAGAUCCGCCGCCACUUGAUCCACAAGGAACAGCCAUGGUAGCAAGAUCUGUAGCAUGGCAUGUACGAACGCAGCAGCACAUACAUCUAAUUUGUCAUUCUUUUACUACCGCACAUGCAGUUCCGGUUCCUUGAAGCAUGGAAUUUUCCAGGAGGCACCACGACUGGUCAUUGGAGAAGACGUAUCUGGCACUUUAUGGUGGCUUGCACUGGUCGCACCAUUUGUUCAUGUAUUCUCUGCUGCAAAUUUUAUCCCAUGCUUGUUAACUUUGUUAACGGAGAAGUCAAUCCUUAGCAAUCAAGGGAUGCCAAAUGUGUGUUAGCGAGGAGGAAUCCACGUCUGGUCAAGAAGCGGUGGUAGCUGGCUGUCUUAUCGGGAAUGUGAUGACCCCAUUCUGGUGGUCACUCAGGUUCGUCCACGGACAUGCGCAACACCUGAUGGGAGCAUGAUGGGAGCACGACUGCUGCAUGAUACACAAAUACAGCCAUGGCCGAGUUCAGUGGUUGAACAAAGGCUCCACAUGUAAAUCUUUUCCAUUUGUGUAAGAUGUCAGCUAUAUAUUUUACUUAUCAAGCAAGAGAUGACUAUGGUUACGAAUCUAUGUUUGUGGAUUCAUUUGGCCUCAAGUGGAAUGUUUAGAGGACAAAUGGUACCCAUCGUAUAUAUCUAGAGACCGCAAGAGUAUUCUUAAUUUAAA
Lolium perenne is the source of this 941-nucleotide long non-coding RNA. RefSeq lists it as uncharacterized. The record is from RefSeq and is a predicted model, not a curated record. Lineage: Eukaryota; Viridiplantae; Streptophyta; Magnoliopsida; Poales; Poaceae.